Molecule: long non-coding RNA, 492 nt
Filed under: Androctonus crassicauda
Lineage: Eukaryota; Metazoa; Arthropoda; Arachnida; Scorpiones; Buthidae
Source: RNAcentral
GCAAGACACUGUUGCCACGGCAAGAAACAAAGAUAUAAAGAAAGACAAAAUAUUGAGCAAAUAAAUCUACAGUCUAAUAAUUACAGCGAUGACACGAAAACAGUUUACCUAUUGGAGGAUAAAAUUAUAUCACCUAUAUCAGAUGUGAGAGUGAUGGAAAAAGUUAUGGGUAUUUGACAAAAGAAUCAAUUAGGAAUAAUCAGAAUCAAAAUAGAAUCAGAAUCUUUUAGUAUACAGUUUAAUUACUAUGAAUGUGUUGGUUAAGACAAAAUCAUGCAGUAAAGUACCCAUUAGAAUAAUGAACAAUACCACGAAUGCUGUAAAACUACAGAAGCAAGAAUCAAUAGGAAAAUUUCUACAGGCAAUGGAGGAAACGAAAGAGCAGGUUUGCAGUGCAAAGUCAAAGAAGAUUGACGCCGCAGAUAUAUCACAGAAGGAAUUCGGAAAUUCUUUUGACUGGGCCAAAAUGGGGAAAGACAAAAAGAAGUCAUU